GCUAAGUUUACUUUGUCUUCUUCGUUAGUUCGUUGAUUGCCAAAAAAAAAAUUUUGCAUCUUUUCAACCACCCUAAAGGAUCUCCAACACCAUCAUAAGUGGGAAAUUCCAUCUUAGAGUAUCGUGGCACCAUGCACCCACCGUGUUGCAGGUCUAAAUUCCUUUUUCUGCCUCCGCUGCUGCCCUGUUCUUCAUUAUUCUUCUCUGAAUCUCCUUUCGUUAUCUUUUGGACUGAAAGAGAUAAUAUUGCCACCUGCUCCUCUAAUGCUUGUUGCCUUGUAUCCAUUUGUUCCAUGAAAGCCUCCAGCUUGGCUAUCAAAGUCUUUUCGUGUAAUGGCCCAAAUUUGAGGUUAUCGGAACAGUGGUUUCGGGACCACAAAUCCGAUGAGAAAAAUUUUAUUUUUCUUAUAUUUUUAUGGUCUACAAUUUCACAAAAUGAUUUCGUGAAAAUUUCGUUCGAAAAUUUCGACGUUUGGGCACUCAAUUUAGUCAAAAGGACUAAAUUGUAAAAAGUGCAAAAGUUGAGUUCUACAUGUUAGAGGUGUCCAAUUGUUAUGAAACUUUAAAUUGGAGGUCCUUAUAUGGUAAUUAUACCAUUGGUAACUUGGUAGACAAAAAUGGACAUGAGAUAAGUGAAAUAGAAAAUUUUUAAGUUAGGGGCAAUUUGGUAAUCUAGUAAUUAAAAUGAAUUAAAAGGGAAAAAGAUGGCAAAUUAUGCUCAUCUUCUUCAUUAGGACGAAAUCAGCAAGGGGGGAAGCCAUAGUUAGGGUUUUCAAGCUUCCAAGCUCCAUAAUCAAGAAGUACGAAACUCGAGGUUAGACAAAGGGAAGAAUAAAGUUGAAGACUAAGUUGGUGAAUUUGGCUAUAAUUGGUACCGAGUAUUACAAGGCUACUUCAAGGAUCCUAAAGAAGUCGGAGAUCGUCCACACUAUCAACCACAACUGCUCGGUAUUUUAUGUCGAAACACGUUUGAGUUAUGGCAUGUAUAGGGAUUUAGUUAUUCUAAAUGUUUGUAUUUAUGAUCUUGCUAAAGAAUGAUGUGUAAGUAUUUGAUGAUGAAUGGUUGCUAAAAUGGUUAAGUAUGGAAGUGUUUGUUGUUAUAAAAGUUUAGGUGAUAAACUAUGAAUGGAAAUCAUAAAAGGGUAAAAUUUUGCAAAGAAACAGAAUUCAGACAGCACUGUGACGUGACUUUGAAAAAUCACCUAGGAUGGUAUAAAAUGAAUUAGAGGAUGAAUGAUAUAUGGAAUUAAAGCUUGUUGGGUCUAUUUUCAUGGAAAAAUAACAGUGUAGCAAAAGGAAAUUUAUAUUUUAAGAUAUGUGAAUUUUAGUAAGAUAGGAUCAGAACUGUUUUUGGAGUCCCCUGUUCUGAGUUUAGAAAAUAAUUAAAAAUUAUACAAAAAUGGUUAUGAGUUGAAAUUUACAUGCUUAGAUUCCUUAAUGAGUCUAUUUUCUGUAGGAACAAGUGGG
Long non-coding RNA from Gossypium raimondii (Peruvian cotton), 1467 nucleotides. RefSeq lists it as uncharacterized. The record is from RefSeq and is a predicted model, not a curated record. The transcript is spliced from 3 exons. NCBI's taxonomy places the organism in Eukaryota, Viridiplantae, Streptophyta, Magnoliopsida, Malvales, Malvaceae.